UACCUGGUUGAUCCUGCCAGUAGUCAUAUGCUUGUCUUAAAGAUUAAGCCAUGCAUGUCUCAGUAUAAGUCUUUACACGGCGAAACUGCGAAUGGCUCAUUAAAACAGUUAUAGUUUCCUUCUUGUUUGCUCUUAUUCGGAUAACUGUGGUAAUUCUAGAGCUAAUACGUGCGUUAAAUCCCGACUUCGCGGAAGGGAUGUAGUUAUUAGAUACUAAACCAAUUCGCUUCGGCGGUUUUUGGAUGAUUCAUAAUAACCGAAUGGAUCGCACUGGCAUGUGCCGGCGAUUUAAGAUUCAAGUUUCUGACCUAUCAGACUGUCGACGGUAAGGUAUUGGCUUACCGUGGUUAUGACGGGUAACGGAGAAUUAGGGUUCGAUUCCGGAGAGGGAGCCCGAGAAACGGCUACCACAUCUAAGGAAGGCAGCAGGCGCGCAAAUUACCCAAUUCUGACACAGAGAGGUAGUGACAAGAAAUAACAAAGUAGGGCCUUCAUGGUCUUUACUAUUGGAAUGAGUAGAAUUUAAAUCCCUUUACGACUAUCAAUUGGAGGGCAAGUCUGGUGCCAGCAGCCGCGGUAAUUCCAGCUCCAAUAGCGUAUAUUAAAGUUGUUGCGGUUAAAAAGCUCGUAGUUGGAUUUCUGUUGAGGACGAUCGGUCCGCAUUUUAGUGCGUGUAUCUGAUUCGGCCUUGGCAUCUUCUUGGGGAACGUUCCUGUGAUUGAUUUCGCAGACGGUAUUCAAGACUUUUACUUUGAGGAAAUUAGAGUGUUUCAGGCAGGCUUGCGCCUUGAAUAUAUUAGCAUGGAAUAAUAAUAAAAGACCUGGGUCUUAUUAUUGGUUUUAGGACCGAGGUAAUGAUUAAUAGGGAUAAUUGGGGGCAUUCGUACUAACGCGUCAGAGGUGGAAUUCUUGGAUUGCGUUAUGACGAACUAAUGCGAAAGCAUUUGCCAAGGAUGUUUUCAUUGAUCAAGAACGAAAGUGUGGGGAUCGAAGACGAUUAGAUACCGUCGUAGUCUACACCAUAAACUAUGCCAUCUAGAGAUUGGAGGUCGUUAAUUAUUUGACUCCUUCAGCACCUUAUGAGAAAUCAAAGUCUUUGGGUUCCGGGGGGAGUAUGGUCGCAAGGCUGAAACUUAAAGGAAUUGACGGAAGGGCACCACCAGGAGUGGAGCCUGCGGCUUAAUUUGACUCAACACGGGAAAACUUACCAGGUCCAGACAUAGUAAGGAUUGACAGGUUGAGAGCUCUUUCUUGAUUCUAUGGGUGGUGGUGCAUGGCCGUUCUUAGUUGGUGGAGUGAUUUGUCUGGUUAAUUUCGUUAACGAACGAGACCUUAUCCUGCUAAAUAGUUCUACUUAUCUUCGGAUAGGUAGCCUACUUCUUAGAGGGACUAUGUGUGUUUAGCACAUGGAAGUUUGAGGCAAUAACAGGUCUGUGAUGCCCUUAGAUGUUCUGGGCUGCACGCGCGCUACACUGAUGCGUUCAACGAGUUUAUAACCUUGCUCGAUAGAGUUGGGUAAUCUUUUGAAAACGCUAUCGUGAUGGGGAUAGAUUAUUGUAAUUAUUAAUCUUCAACGAGGAAUUCCUAGUAAGCGCGAGUCAUCAGCUCGUGCUGAUUACGUCCCUGCCCUUUGUACACACCGCCCGUCGCUCCUACCGAUUGAGUAAUCCGGUGAAUAAUUUGGACCGAAGUGAAGCUCGUUUUCGGACGCGCUUUAUUUUGGGAAGUCUAGUAAACCUUAUUACUUAGAGGAAGGAGAAGUCGUAACAAGGUUUCCGUAGGUGAACCUGCAGAAGGAUC
RNAcentral lists this ribosomal RNA (1800 nucleotides) under uncultured eukaryote. RNAcentral's name for it is "SSU rRNA". It matches the Rfam family "Eukaryotic small subunit ribosomal RNA". The record is from RNAcentral.